GGAGAUGUGUCAGAGUGGUCUAUCGUGCUUCCUUGGAAAGGAAGUGUUGGGUCAAACCAACCGCAGGUUCGAAUCCUGCCAUCUCCGCCA
RNAcentral lists this transfer RNA (90 nucleotides) under Gammaproteobacteria bacterium. RNAcentral's name for it is "tRNA-Ser". It matches the Rfam family "tRNA". Rfam says of the family: Transfer RNA (tRNA) molecules are approximately 80 nucleotides in length. The record is from RNAcentral. Lineage: Bacteria; Pseudomonadati; Pseudomonadota; Gammaproteobacteria.